AGUAACACGUGGAUAACCUACCUAUAAGACUGGGAUAACUUCGGGAAACCGGAGCUAAUACCGGAUAAUAUUUUGAACCGCAUGAUUCAAAAGUGAGAGACGGUCUUGCUGUCACUUAUAGAUGGAUCCGCGCUGCAUUAGCUAGUUGGUAAGGUAACGGCUUACCAAGGCAACGAUGCAUAGCCGACCUGAGAGGGUGAUCGGCCACACUGGAACUGAGACACGGUCCAG
Molecule: ribosomal RNA, 231 nt
Filed under: uncultured Staphylococcus sp.
Lineage: Bacteria; Bacillati; Bacillota; Bacilli; Caryophanales; Staphylococcaceae
Description: partial 16S ribosomal RNA
Rfam family: Bacterial small subunit ribosomal RNA
Source: RNAcentral